RNAcentral lists this ribosomal RNA (752 nucleotides) under Lophodermium herbarum. RNAcentral describes it as "partial large subunit ribosomal RNA". It matches the Rfam family "Eukaryotic large subunit ribosomal RNA", at positions 37 to 805 of the family's 3401-position model. Lineage: Eukaryota; Fungi; Ascomycota; Leotiomycetes; Rhytismatales; Rhytismataceae. The record is from RNAcentral.
AGCAUAUCAAUAAGCGGAGGAAAAGAAACCAUCAGGGAUUGCCUCAGUAACGGCGAGUGAAGCGCCAACAGCUCAAAUUUGAAAGCUGGGUUCUUUAGGGGCCCGCGUUGUAAUUUGUAGAGGAUGCUUUGGGCGCGGCGACGGUCUAAGUUCUUUGGAACAAGACGUCAUGGAGGGUGAGAAUCCCGUAUGUGACUGGUGGCCUGUGCCCAUGUGAAGCUCCUUUGACGAGUCGAGUUGUUUGGGAAUGCAGCUCAAAAUGGGAGGUGUAUUUCUUCUAAAGAUAAAUAUUGGCCAGAGAUCGAUAGAGCACAAGUAGAGUGAUCGAAAGAUGAAAAGCACUUUGGAAAGAGAGUUAAACAGUACGUGAAAUUGUUGAAAGGGAAGAGCUUGCAAUCAGACUUGUGCGGCGUCGAUCAGCACGGGUUCUCCCGGGUGCACUCGGCGCCGCUCAGGCCAGCAUCAGUUUCGGCGGUGGGAUAAAGGUCCAGGGAACGUGGGUCGCCUCGGCGAGAGUUAUAGACCUGGGCGCAAUGUCGCCUGUCGGGACUGAGGACCGAGCUUCGGCUAGGAUGCUGGCGUAAUGGUUGUAAGAGAGCCGUCUUGAAACACGGAGCAAGGAGUUUAACAUUUGUGUGAGUGUUUGGGUGUCAAAACCAUAUGCGUAAUGAAAGUGAACGGAGGUGAGAAACCUUAAGGGUGCAUCAUCGACCGAUCCUGAUGUAUUAGGAUGGAUUUGAGUAAGAGCAUAA